GACGAACGCUGGCGGCGUGCUUAACACAUGCAAGUCGAACGGAAAGGCCUGCAGCUUGCUGCGGGUACUCGGGUGGCGAACGGGUGAGUAACACGUGGGUGAUCUGCCUUGCACUUCGGGAUAAGCUUGGGAAACUGGGUCUAAUACCGGAUAGGACAGCUGUUUAGUGUCAGUUGUGGAAAGUUUUUUCGGUGCAAGAUGAGCUCGCGGCCUAUCAGCUUGUUGGUGGGGUAAUGGCCUACCAAGGCGUCGACGGGUAGCCGGCCUGAGAGGGUGUACGGCCACAUUGGGACUGAGAUACGGCCCAGACUCCUACGGGAGGCAGCAGUGGGGAAUAUUGCACAAUGGGCGGAAGCCUGAUGCAGCGACGCCGCGUGGGGGAUGAAGGCCUUCGGGUUGUAAACUCCUUUCGACAGGGACGAAGCUUUUGUGACGGUACCUGUAUAAGAAGCACCGGCUAACUACGUG
Molecule: ribosomal RNA, 468 nt
Filed under: uncultured bacterium
Lineage: Bacteria
Description: partial 16S ribosomal RNA
Rfam family: Bacterial small subunit ribosomal RNA
Source: RNAcentral